UGAUUCCUCACUGUUCCGCCAUCGUGGGCAGUGGCCUCCUCCACCGGCUAUGACUGCAGGGAAAAGGUCAAACUGAAGCCAUUUCAUCACAGGGCCUUCUGCCUCCUUAAGAUUGUGAAGAUUUAAUGCUGUAAUCCGGCUCCUAGAAGGAAAUGUAAUACAUCAGCAGCUCCUGAUAUAAGAAGGACAAUUUGCCCAGGAGGAAAUGCGCUCAUGGAUAGAAGCUGAUUUUCAUAGGCUCGCUGAUGUCUGCAAGGAUUCCCGUCUCCUAGGGCCUUUCAUCAACAAGAAGAGGCACAUUUUUCUUUCCCCAAUCAAGACAGACUUUUCAUGGCAGACCAAUUCGGCAGUAUUCUUCCUAGAAGCUCAGUCUGAGAGACAAGAAUGCUCCUUUCCUCUGAGUGAAAAUAUGCUAUCCCUGGACUGAGGGUCUUCUGACCUGUUUCGGGGGAGAAGGGCAGGAGAAGGUAGGAGAGUAACUUCUGAUGUUUCAUGACCUGCCUCAGGAAAGGAGGGAAGGGUGUGUGGUG
This 530-nucleotide long non-coding RNA is filed under the name Chinchilla lanigera (long-tailed chinchilla). RNAcentral's name for it is "lncRNA (ENSCLAG00000024434.1)". The record is from RNAcentral. Lineage: Eukaryota; Metazoa; Chordata; Mammalia; Rodentia; Chinchillidae.